Molecule: long non-coding RNA, 366 nt
Organism: Portunus trituberculatus (swimming crab)
Lineage: Eukaryota; Metazoa; Arthropoda; Malacostraca; Decapoda; Portunidae
Exons: 3
Source: RefSeq, a predicted model, not a curated record
AUAUGACAACCUAUUUCAGCCUAGAUAGUGACUUCGUGUUGGGGUGACACUCCCAUGCAGGGUGACAGAUGUGUUCUCAUGGCCCACCUUCGCUAGGAACAGCACCACACGUACAAGCUGAGAUCCAUGAAGUGUUAUUUUGGUCACAAAUCCAGCUCAGUCCACUCUGCCACCUGCAAGUCAACCUUGGCAGGCAGGUGUGACAAGAACACUGGGCUUCCUGCACAAGAGUAAAGUGGAUGAAUUGGCCCCGUUCUGGCGUUGGCCGUGGGGCGCAGGGCUGGGGCGUGGUGCUUGGGGUGCCCUGGCUGGUGGGUACUGCAGAGGUAGGGGUUGCCUUGCCAGUACUGCCACUCAGGGACGGAG